This 1459-nucleotide ribosomal RNA is filed under the name Melita plumulosa. RNAcentral's name for it is "bacterial LSU rRNA". It matches the Rfam family "Bacterial large subunit ribosomal RNA", at positions 1220 to 2672 of the family's 2925-position model. The record is from RNAcentral. Lineage: Eukaryota; Metazoa; Arthropoda; Malacostraca; Amphipoda; Melitidae.
UCUGCGUGGUAGAGGAGCGUUCUGUAAGCCGUUGAAGGGAAGCUGUAAGGCAUCCUGGAGGUAUCAGAAGUGCGAAUGCUGACAUGAGUAACGAUAAGGGGGUGAAAACCUCCCGCCGGAAGACCAAGGGUUCCUAUCCAAUGCUAAUCAGGGUAGGUGAGUCGACCCCUAAGGCGAGGCCGAAAGGCGUAGUCGAUGGGAAACAGGUUAAUAUUCCUGUACUUGUUAUUGAUGCGACGGAGGGACGGAGAAGGCUAGGCUAGCGCGGCGUUGGUUGUCCGCGUGAAAGAGUGUAGGUUGAAGGUUUAGGUAAAUCCGGACUUUCUAAAGACUGAGACUCGAGACGAGGUUCUACGGAACCGAAGUAGUUGGUGCCCUGCUUCCAGGAAAAGCUUCUAAGCUUCAGUCAAUAACGAAUCGUACCCCAAACCGACACAGGUGGUCAGGUAGAGAAUACUAAGGCGCUUGAGAGAACUCGGGUGAAGGAACUAGGCAAAAUUGUACCGUAACUUCGGGAGAAGGUACGCUGUUGUUGGUGAUGAGACUUGCUCUCUAAGCUGACGACAGCCGCAGUGACCAGGUGGCUGGGACUGUUUAUAAAACACAGCACUGUGCAAAAUCGUAAGAUGACGUAUACGGUGUGACACCUGCCCGGUGCCGGAAGGUUAAUUGAUGGGGUUAGCUUAGGCGAAGCUCUUGAUCGAAGCCCCGGUAAACGGCGGCCGUAACAAUAACGGUCCUAAGGUAGCGAAAUUCCUUGUCGGGUAAGUUCCGACCUGCACGAAUGGUGUAACCAUGGCCACGCUGUCUCCACCCGAGACUCAGUGAAAUUGAAAUCGCAGUGAAGAUGCUGUGUACCCGCGGCUAGACGGAAGACCCCGUGAACCUUUACUACAGCUUGGCACUGAACAUUGAGCCUACAUGUGUAGGAUAGGUGGGAGGCUUUGAAGUGGCGUCGCCAGAUGUCAUGGAGCCAUCCUUGAAAUACCACCCUUGUAUGUUUGAUGUUCUAACAUAGGCCCCUUAUCGGGGUUGUGGACAGUGCCUGGUGGGUAGUUUGACUGGGGCGGUCUCCUCCCAAAGAGUAACGGAGGAGCACGAAGGUUGGCUAAGUACGGUCGGACAUCGUACGGUUAGUGUAAUGGUAGAAGCCAGCUUAACUGCGAGACAGACACGUCGAGCAGGUACGAAAGUAGGUCAUAGUGAUCCGGUGGUUCUGAAUGGAAGGGCCAUCGCUCAACGGAUAAAAGGUACUCCGGGGAUAACAGGCUGAUACCGCCCAAGAGUUCAUAUCGACGGCGGUGUUUGGCACCUCGAUGUCGGCUCAUCACAUCCUGGGGCUGAAGUCGGUCCCAAGGGUAUGGCUGUUCGCCAUUUAAAGUGGUACGCGAGCUGGGUUUAGAACGUCGUGAGACAGUUCGGUCCCUAUCUGCCGUGGGCUUUGAGAAUUGAGAGGGGC